Molecule: ribosomal RNA, 442 nt
Filed under: uncultured bacterium
Lineage: Bacteria
Description: partial 16S ribosomal RNA
Rfam family: Bacterial small subunit ribosomal RNA
Source: RNAcentral
CCUACGGGUGGCAGCAGUGAGGAAUAUUGGUCAAUGGGCGUAAGCCUGAACCAGCAACGCCGCGUGAAGGAAGAAGGCUUUCGGGUUGUAAACUUCUUUUAAGGGGGAAGAGCAGAAGACGGUACCCCUUGAAUAAGCCACGGCUAACUACGUGCCAGCAGCCGCGGUAAUACGUAGGUGGCAAGCGUUGUCCGGAUUUACUGGGUGUAAAGGGCGUGCAGCCGGAGGGACAAGUCAGAUGUGAAAUCCACGGGCUCAACCCGUGAACUGCAUUUGAAACUGUUUCCCUUGAGUGUCGGAGAGGUAAUCGGAAUUCCUUGUGUAGCGGUGAAAUGCGUAGAUAUCAGGAAGAACACCAGUGGCGAAGGCGGAUUACUGGACGAUAACUGACGGUGAGGCGCGAAAGCGUGGGGAGCAAACAGGAUUAGAUACCCCAGUAGUC